CCUACGGGUGGCAGCAGUCGAGAAUCAUUCACAAUGGGGGAAACCCUGAUGGUGCGACGCCGCGUGGGGGAAUGAAGGUCUUCGGAUUGUAAACCCCUGUCAUGUGGGAGCAAAUUAAAAAGAUAGUACCACAAGAGGAAGAGACGGCUAACUCUGUGCCAGCAGCCGCGGUAAUACAGAGGUCUCAAGCGUUGUUCGGAAUCACUGGGCGUAAAGCGUGCGUAGGCUGUUGCGUAAGUCGUGUGUGAAAGGCGAGGGCUCAACCCGCGGACGGCACAUGAUACUGCGAGACUAGAGUAAUGGAGGGGGAACCGGAAUUCUCGGUGUAGCAGUGAAAUGCGUAGAUAUCGAGAGGAACACUCGUGGCGAAGGCGGGUUCCUGGACAUUAACGGACGCUGAGGCACGAAGGCCAGGGGAGCGAAAGGGAUUAGAUACCCUUGUAGUC
Molecule: ribosomal RNA, 446 nt
Filed under: uncultured bacterium
Lineage: Bacteria
Description: partial 16S ribosomal RNA
Rfam family: Bacterial small subunit ribosomal RNA
Source: RNAcentral